UACGUAGGGGGCAAGCGUUGUCCGGAUUUAUUGGGCGUAAAGAGCGUGUAGGCGGCCUGAAAGGUCAGCUGUGAAAACUCGAGGCUCAACCUCGAGACGUCGGUUGAAACCAUCUGGCUAGAGUCCGGAAGAGGAGAGUGGAAUUCCCGGUGUAGCGGUGAAAUGUGCAGAUAUCGGGAAGAACACCCGUGGCGAAGGCGGCUCUCUGGGACGGUACUGACGCUGAGACGCGAAAGCGUGGGGAGCGAACAGG
This 253-nucleotide ribosomal RNA is filed under the name uncultured bacterium. RNAcentral describes it as "partial 16S ribosomal RNA". It matches the Rfam family "Bacterial small subunit ribosomal RNA", at positions 524 to 776 of the family's 1533-position model. The record is from RNAcentral.